This 448-nucleotide ribosomal RNA is filed under the name uncultured bacterium. RNAcentral's name for it is "bacterial SSU rRNA". It matches the Rfam family "Bacterial small subunit ribosomal RNA", at positions 64 to 507 of the family's 1533-position model. The record is from RNAcentral.
GAGCGGAUGACGGGAGCCUGCUCCUUGAUUCAGCGGCGGACGGGUGAGUAAUGCCUAGGAAUCUGCCUGGUAGUGGGGGACAACGUUUCGAAAGGAACGCUAAUACCGCAUACGUCCUACGGGAGAAAGCAGGGGACCUUCGGGCCUUGCGCUAUCAGAUGAGCCUAGGUCGGAUUAGCUAGUUGGUGGGGUAAUGGCUCACCAAGGCGACGAUCCGUAACUGGUCUGAGAGGAUGAUCAGUCACACUGGAACUGAGACACGGUCCAGACUCCUACGGGAGGCAGCAGUGGGGAAUAUUGGACAAUGGGCGAAAGCCUGAUCCAGCCAUGCUGCGUGUGUGAAGAAGGUCUUCGGAUUGUAAAGCACUUUAAGUUGGGAGGAAGGGCAGUAAGCUAAUACCUUGCUGUUUUGACGUUACCGACAGAAUAAGCACCGGCUAACUCUGUG